CGCAUUCGCGUUAUUUGCAUGCAAAGGUGUUUAGGAUUUUGCAUUUAAACUUGUAAAGUGUCGAAUCCACGACUUCAUGAAGUGAAACAUGCAUUCUUUUUAAUGGGACCCCAACAGUGUCAUUAUUCCAGCAUGUUUUGAUUACGUUUAGGACAAUCACUAAGUUAAGAUAAAUGCUGAAUUCAUGCGGAUAACAACAGUGCGACUCCUGACCAAGUUCUUGGGGCAGCUGGAUGGAUACGCGGUAAACCUACAUAAGGUUUUCAAAAGCAAAGGAGGUGCUUCUGGACAG
Non-coding RNA from Paramisgurnus dabryanus, 292 nucleotides. The record is from RefSeq and is a predicted model, not a curated record. Lineage: Eukaryota; Metazoa; Chordata; Actinopteri; Cypriniformes; Cobitidae.